GACAUCUGCUUCUGGUGAGGCCUCAGGAAGCUUCCACUGGUGGCGGAAGGUGAAGAGGAAGCCAGCAUUUGCAAGAAAAAUCUGAAGUUAAGUUUUGCUUAUGUUUGCAAUCAAGCAAGGUUUAGGUCACUUAAGAGGCCUAACUUGUUUUGUCUGCUCAGAGAUUCUUCAGGCCUGACCUCCACUUUAAUUUACUUGAAGAGCAUCGAAUAUGAAUCUGCAGAAUUUCAGUGAAACUAUAGAGGAAGAAUGGAGGAGGUGGAGCUGAGGCAGUAAUGCGAGUGAUGGGGAGCAGCUGUAAAUACAGAUGAAGCUUGGCUCGCUUGCCUGCUGCUCAGCUCCUGCUGUGCGGGCUGGUUCCUAACGAGCAAGAAGAAACCUGGAGGACACUUUGGUUUCAUCAAGCAACACUUGCCACCAGGAAGGCGUUGAGUGCCAAUUCCACACCCAAUACCCCCAGGCACCUUUGCAACCUUAAUGAGCUACUGCUGUCUUACUUGAGAACACCAGAGGGCGCUCAAGAGAGGAGGAGGCGACUGGCGACUAUCAAGAGCUGAAGUUGGAAAUAUGGAAUCCUCCCAAGCCGCUCAGAAAGUUUGAAGACACAGGGGGCAGGGACCCAGACUUAUGGAAGUCUCCGCCUCAGGCUGAAGAGAAUACAUAAUGAAAAGCUGCAUUUUCUGGGUACAUGCACACAUUUGGAGC
RNAcentral lists this long non-coding RNA (705 nucleotides) under Homo sapiens (human). RNAcentral describes it as "EPCIP antisense RNA 1". The record is from RNAcentral. Lineage: Eukaryota; Metazoa; Chordata; Mammalia; Primates; Hominidae.